RNAcentral lists this ribosomal RNA (254 nucleotides) under uncultured bacterium. RNAcentral describes it as "partial 16S ribosomal RNA". It matches the Rfam family "Bacterial small subunit ribosomal RNA", at positions 524 to 776 of the family's 1533-position model. The record is from RNAcentral.
UACGUAGGGGGCAAGCGUUGGUCCGGAUUUAUUGGGCGUAAAGAGCGUGUAGGCGGCCUGACAAGUCUGCUGUGAAAACUCGAGGCUCAACCUCGAGAUGUCGGCGGAAACUGUCUGGCUAGAGUCCGGAAGAGGAGAGUGGAAUUCCUGGUGUAGCGGUGAAAUGCGCAGAUAUCAGGAAGAACACCUAUGGCGAAGGCAGCUCUCUGGGACGGUACUGACGCUGAGACGCGAAAGCCAGGGGAGCAAACGGG